GGUUAAGUUAGAAAGGGCGCACGGUGGAUGCCUUGGCACUAGGAGCCGAAGAAGGACGGGACUAACACCGAUAUGCUUUGGGGAGCUGUACGUAAGCGUUGAUCCAGAGAUUUCCGAAUGGGGGAACCCACUAUCUUUAGUCGGAUAGUAUCCUUACGUGAAUACAUAGCGUGAGGAAGGCAGACCCAGGGAACUGAAACAUCUAAGUACCUGGAGGAAGAGAAAGAAAAAUCGAUUUCCUGAGUAGCGGCGAGCGAAACGGAAAGAGCCCAAACCAAGAAGCUUGCUUCUUGGGGUUGUAGGACACUCUAUACGGAGUUACAAAAGAAAGUUAUAAAUGAAGCGGUCUGGAAAGGCCCGCCAAAGACGGUAACAGCCCGGUAGUUGAAAUGGCUUUCCCUCCAGAGUGGAUCCUGAGUACGGCGGAACACGUGAAAUUCCGUCGGAAUCCGGGAGGACCAUCUCCCAAGGCUAAAUACUCCCUAGUGACCGAUAGUGAACCAGUACCGUGAGGGAAAGGUGAAAAGCACCCCGGAAGGGGAGUGAAACAGUUCCUGAAACCGUGUGCCUACAAGUAGUUAGAGCCCGUUAAUGGGUGAUAGCGUGCCUUUUGUAGAAUGAACCGGCGAGUUACGAUUUGUUGCAAGGUUAAGCGGAAAAAGCGGAGCCGUAGCGAAAGCGAGUCUGAAUAGGGCGCAUAAGUAACAGGUCGUAGACCCGAAACCAGGUGAUCUACCCAUGUCCAGGAUGAAGGUAAGGUAAUACUUACUGGAGGUCCGAACCCACGCACGUUGAAAAGUGCGGGGAUGAGGUGUGGGUAGCGGAGAAAUUCCAAUCGAACUUGGAGAUAGCUGGUUCUCUCCGAAAUAGCUUUAGGGCUAGCCUCGAGGUAAAGAGUCAUGGAGGUAGAGCACUGUUUGGACUAGGGGCCCUUCUCGGGUUACCGAAUUCAGAUAAACUCCGAAUGCCAUGUACUUAUACUCGGGAGUCAGACUGCGAGUGAUAAGAUCCGUAGUCGAAAGGGAAACAGCCCAGACCACCAGUUAAGGUCCCCAAAUAUAUGUUAAGUGGAAAAGGAUGUGGGGUUGCUUAGACAACCAGGAUGUUGGCUUAGAAGCAGCCACCAUUGAAAGAGUGCGUAAUAGCUCACUGGUCGAGUGACCCCGCGCCGAAAAUGUACCGGGGCUAAACAUAUUACCG
Molecule: ribosomal RNA, 1200 nt
Filed under: Listeria innocua
Lineage: Bacteria; Bacillati; Bacillota; Bacilli; Caryophanales; Listeriaceae
Description: partial 23S ribosomal RNA
Rfam family: Bacterial large subunit ribosomal RNA
Source: RNAcentral